RNAcentral lists this long non-coding RNA (312 nucleotides) under Mytilus galloprovincialis (Mediterranean mussel). The record is from RNAcentral. Lineage: Eukaryota; Metazoa; Mollusca; Bivalvia; Mytilida; Mytilidae.
GUGUAUUACAUUAUAACGUUGUGUCGUUUGUUUUCUCUUAUUUUUUAGUGUAAAUUCACAUUGCGAUAAGACGUGUCACGGUACUUGUCUAUCCCAAAUUCAUGUAUUUGGUUUUGAUGUUAUAUAUAUAUGUUAUAUUUGUUAUUCUCGUGGGAUUUUGUCUAUGUGUGUUACAUUUUAGUGUUAUGUCGUUGUUCUCCUCUUAUAUUUAAUGCGUUUCCCUCGGUUUUAGUUUGUUACCCAGAUUUUGUUUUUUGUCCAUGGAUUUAUGAGUUUUGAACAGCGGUAUACUACUGUUGCCUUUAUUUAAUG